GGCAAGAUGGCCGAGCGGUCUAAGGCGCCAGGUUAAGGUUUACCUUGACAGACAACUCUCCGAGUUUCCUGGUCAUCGUUUGAUGGCGUGGGUUCGAAUCCCACUCUUGUCA
Molecule: transfer RNA, 112 nt
Filed under: Aspergillus heteromorphus CBS 117.55
Lineage: Eukaryota; Fungi; Ascomycota; Eurotiomycetes; Eurotiales; Aspergillaceae
Rfam family: tRNA
About the family: Transfer RNA (tRNA) molecules are approximately 80 nucleotides in length. Their secondary structure includes four short double-helical elements and three loops (D, anti-codon, and T loops). Further hydrogen bonds mediate the characteristic L-shaped molecular structure. tRNAs have two regions of fundamental functional importance: the anti-codon, which is responsible for specific mRNA codon recognition, and the 3' end, to which the tRNAs corresponding amino acid is attached (by aminoacyl-tRNA synthetases). tRNAs cope with the degeneracy of the genetic code in two manners: having more than one tRNA (with a specific anti-codon) for a particular amino acid; and 'wobble' base-pairing, i.e. permitting non-standard base-pairing at the 3rd anti-codon position.
Source: Rfam by way of RNAcentral